CAGCUCUCAGAUGGCAUAUAAAAUGAGAGGAAAAGAGCACCUGAUCGGGCUGACAUCAAGAGAUCACAAGUGUUUGCAGGUUUUCCAGAGUGUUUAGGAAUAAAAGAGCAGUGAGUCAAAGUGUGUGGAAGAAGGAGCAGGAGCAGAGGAAAAGGUGUUGGUCCCAGCGGGUGGGAAAGAAUUAACAGUGCGGAGAGUAGGGGGGAGGAAGGAGAAUUCUCUGCCCUGACAAAAAAGGUGAGCUUCCAGAAACCUGGGACCUCAGUGAACUUGCAAGACGCCUCUAAUAAAGAGAAGCAGCAUGACUUCGCUGGGGAAAGACGUGCAGUACCUCGCCACUGUGUAGUGUUCCUACCGUACAGACACCACAGACACGAUUAACCUCGAGAGCAUAGAUAUUAGGAAGAGGAAAACAACUGAGGAAAACUGUUGAAGUGAUGAAGAAGGAGGUUACCUUCUAGGACUCCCCCGGUGCUGUCUUUCUGCGGAGCCCCCUUCUUCUCAGCCUCUAACCAGCCACCCGGGGAGCUGAGUCCUUCCCCCCGGCGCCCAGGCUGCUGCGCGGAGCUCAGACACACGUCCAUAGCCGGCUGUCCCAAAGACAGCUGUGCAUUGAAAAGCAAUCUACAAAAGAACGACUAUAAUCUACUGACUGACUGUUACUAGUUCAGCACAUCUAUGAUCUACAUCGCAUGUUCGUAAUUAAUACAGAAUUGGAAAUGACUCCUUGUUAGUAUGCCCAAAAUAAUUUUGAAUUGUUACACGUAUCUUUACCUUAUGCAGCAGAAGAGAUGUGAGGCUUCUGUGCACUCUUUAAUCCCCAGUGUUUUAUAUAGGUCUACACCUGAAAGGAUUAGCAUUUGAUGAACAAAAUCCAGCCAGUGGAAGCCCAAGUUAUUUAGGGUAGCAUUAUCUACCAGUCCUCAUAGACACAUUACUUUGCUAGAAUUCUCUCUCUUUCUCUCUCUCUCUCUCUCUCUCUCUCUCACACACACACACACACACACACACACACGCACAGUCCUAGCAACAUUCAAUGGAAUUCCCUUCAAAAGUUUCAGGAAUAUCACUGGAACAGAACAGAGGCUGCCCCUGUGGCAUCCAGUUGCUGCGAUGUGGUUCGAAACGUUAGACUUCCAGUUCACUUUUCAAAGAAGUGGGUGUUGGACAGUUGCACAGACUUGCAAAUUUUGUGCUCAUUUGCCAAACUCCAGUAGCCACAGGGAGGACAUGCCCACCCAGCCUCUGCCUAGGACCCGUAUCCAGGCAGCCAGAAAGAACACAAGGAUCUACCAAGAGGAAGGGAAUGCUUUGGGGAGGAAGAAAGGAGAGCAUCUAUCCAUGAGAAGGGACGGGAGUCAAAGGCUUAACGUUGAAUCUGGGGGAUUUAGAGCAGAGGGAAGAGGAAAUCAGAAAAACUCUUCCAAGAAAAAGUAAGCCAUUGUGAUUUAUUUAACUGAAAUAAGGGAUAGUCAAAAGGGAAGGAGAAAAAUCAUGUGCUCAUUUGUGAAGCUCAGAAACCCUUAAAAUAGAAUAUAGGUCACACAAAGUAAAGCCUCAGACAAAUGGGAAUUAAAGAAUCACUUGUGAUAGGCUACAUUCAACCAGGGAGUUGGAUGAAUGGUGUUUUAACCUGAGUAGAUAUAAAAGCCCAUUUUUGUUUUUGUACCCACCCUCGGUACUCGUUUCUCUGGUGUCACUAUUUUGUGUUCUUUAUGUCAGUUUCUUUUCACUCAGGAUGUUCAUCUAGAUGUGCUGUGGUCCCAUGUAAAUCACCUUUCCCACUUUCUUAAAUGACUGGGGAUAAGCCGGCAUUUGUUCCAGCUCUAUCGUUCUAAUGCUUUCUUAUUCCCCAAAUGCAUCUAGUUCUAUGAUUGCAUUCUGCAUCUCUGCAACUUAUUUCUUCCAGGUGUCAUCAGUCCCUAUGAGAAAUAGCAAAAAGAUAGUCAUCAGUACAAUUCUACAAAAACCUUUUAAAAACUGAUUGCAAUGUACGUGAAUAUAUGUGUGUAUAUUUAUAUGCAUGUAGACACACACAUAGACAAACAUAUGCGUUCAUUCUACAAGCUUUAAAAUGAAGCAAAGGACGAAGGAAAAAAUGUUGAUCUCCUUUAAUUCUACUAUCUAGAGAAAGAAACCUCACCAACUUUUUUUUUUGUAUCAACUUCUAGGCUUAUUUUUUUUGUAUAAACUUUUUUAAAGCUAUUUUACUGAAAAUGUGACUUGAUAGAAACAUGUACCUCUUUAACCUAGCAUCCUAUUAAGAGUUCCUUUUUAGGAUGAGUUCAUGUCCUUUGCAGGGACAUGGAUGAAGCUGGAAACCAUCAUUCUCAGCAAACUAACACAGGAACAGAAAACCAAACACCACAUGUUCUCACUCAUAAGUGGGAGUCGAACAAUGAGAACACAUGGACACAGGGAGGGGAACAUCACACACCUGGGCCUGUCAGGGGGUGGGGGACUUAGGGGACGGAGAGCAUUAGGAGAAAUACCUAAUGUAGAUGAUGGGUUGAUGGGUGCAACAAACCACCAUGGCACGUGUAUACCUAUGUAACAAACCUGCACAUUCUGCAUGUGUACCCCA
This 2584-nucleotide long non-coding RNA is filed under the name Homo sapiens (human). Its description in RNAcentral is "HSALNT0206139". Lineage: Eukaryota; Metazoa; Chordata; Mammalia; Primates; Hominidae. The record is from RNAcentral.